RNAcentral lists this ribosomal RNA (260 nucleotides) under uncultured archaeon. Its description in RNAcentral is "partial 16S ribosomal RNA". It matches the Rfam family "Archaeal small subunit ribosomal RNA", at positions 748 to 1008 of the family's 1478-position model. The record is from RNAcentral.
AGGGUGUAAACGCUGCAGACUUGGUGUUGGAAGCCCUUUGGGGGCAUUCAGUGCCGGAGAGAAGUUGUUAAGUCUGCUACUUGGGGAGUACGUCCGCAAGGAUGAAACUUAAAGGAAUUGGCGGGGAGCACCGCAACGGGAGGAGCGUGCGGUUUAAUUGGAUUCAACACCGUAAAACUCACCAGGGAAGACCGUUACAUGAAGGCCGAGAUGAAGACUCUGCUAGAUUUUCAGAGAGGUGGUGCAUGGCGUCAGUGACU